CAAUAUCACCCCUAUAUCACCAUUAUCACCCCAGUAUCACCUCAAUAUCACCAAUAUUCCCCUAGAAUCACCCCAAUAUCAUCAAUAUCACCCCAAUAUCACCACUAUCACCCCAAUAUCACCCAAUAUCACCCCAAUAUCACCAUUAUCACCCCAAUAUCACCCCAAUAUCACCAAUAUUCCCCUAGAAUCACCCCAAUAUCAUCAAUAUCACCCCAAUAUCACCCCAGUAUAACCACAAUAUAACCACUAUCACCCCAAUAUCACCCCAAUAUCACCAUUAUCACCCCAAUAUCACCCAAUAUCACCCCUAUCACCUCAAUAUCACCCACUAUCACCCCAUUAUCACGACUAUCACCCCAACAUGGCGCCGCGUUCCCCUAUACCGUCACUGUGUGUCUCUAUGGGGCUCAGUGUGCGUUAUAUCCCGCAAUGCACCUUGCCGCCGAGCAAUGUGAUGGUAGAGAAGCCAAGUCCUGCAGCUCCAUCCAGCAGCUCUUGGUCCAAGGCAGCAACAGAGCAGAAGAGCUUCUUCAUGUGGGUCGAUGUGACCACAACGAGGAGCUCCAGCAAAUACCUGCUGCCUCCCAGUGCCAGCCCUUAUAUGAGCACCAGGAGGGGGCGGAGCCAGCCCUGCAGCCAAUCGGAUGCGUUGCCUGCACUUGGGCUGUACUGCUGUGUCUCCGCCCCAUCAUGGCUCCCAACCAUGACUAAGCAUUUCUAUUAUAUCACCCUGAUUAUAUAAUAAUUAUCAUCGCCCCCAUCACCCCCCAUCGUUCCAAUGUCCCCCCAGCAUCAACCCCAGAGCGGUGCCCACAGUGUCACCCCAUUGCGACCCUGAGAUCUGCACCCCCAUGUCCAUAUACUGUGCUGUUGUUUCUUCUCUAUCCACAACCCUCCCCUUUAAGAACUAAUAAAUGUAAUUAUUCACCUGUUACUGCUUUGUUU
This 948-nucleotide long non-coding RNA is filed under the name Coturnix japonica (Japanese quail). RNAcentral describes it as "lncRNA (ENSCJPG00005002754.1)". Lineage: Eukaryota; Metazoa; Chordata; Aves; Galliformes; Phasianidae. The record is from RNAcentral.